AAAUGCUCUCUGUUUUGACAAGCAGGAAAUGUUCAUGGAACAGUGACGAACAGUCCUCGAAAUGAUAGUCGCGGUUCCUCCGGCUCUUGGCGGCCGGCAGCGACCCCUUCGUCCCCAGGCAGACGGCCGUAGCUGCUCCCCUGGUGGAUGGCAACAGCGAGGACUCCGUGACAACGCAUCCCUUCUCCCUCCCGGGGGUUUUGGCAACACUGUAACAGUAUAAAAACGGGCAAGGAGGAGGUGGGAACUGGCUGAACAUGAUGGCGGAGGGAGACCUGAUAAGCCACACCAGAGUGUCAGAGUGGGAGAGAGAGUGGCAAAGGAAACUGGUGACUGAAUGACUGGCAGCUAUAUGCAGAGACUGCACACGUCCAGUUCUAUGAGAUACUAAAAAAGCCCUGUUUGAAUUGGCCACUGAGAGCAGUUUUUUGUUAACCUGACUGUGUGGAUAAAAUAAAUACU
Myxocyprinus asiaticus (Chinese sucker) is the source of this 462-nucleotide long non-coding RNA. RefSeq lists it as uncharacterized. The record is from RefSeq and is a predicted model, not a curated record. Lineage: Eukaryota; Metazoa; Chordata; Actinopteri; Cypriniformes; Catostomidae. The transcript has 3 exons.